RNAcentral lists this ribosomal RNA (722 nucleotides) under uncultured Fusobacterium sp. RNAcentral's name for it is "bacterial SSU rRNA". It matches the Rfam family "Bacterial small subunit ribosomal RNA", at positions 28 to 776 of the family's 1533-position model. The record is from RNAcentral. Lineage: Bacteria; Fusobacteriati; Fusobacteriota; Fusobacteriia; Fusobacteriales; Fusobacteriaceae.
GAUGAACGCUGACAGAAUGCUUAGCACAUGCAAGUCAACUUGAACUUCGGUUUGGGUGGCGGACGGGUGAGUAACGCGUAAAGAACUUGCCUCACAGUUAGGGACAACAUUUGGAAACGAAUGCUAAUACCUGAUAUUAUGAUUUUAGGGCAUCCUAGAAUUAUGAAAGCUAUAUGCGCUGUGAGAGAGCUUUGCGUCCCAUUAGCUAGUUGGAGAGGUAACGGCUCACCAAGGCGAUGAUGGGUAGCCGGCCUGAGAGGGUGAACGGCCACAAGGGGACUGAGACACGGCCCUUACUCCUACGGGAGGCAGCAGUGGGGAAUAUUGGACAAUGGACCAAGAGUCUGAUCCAGCAAUUCUGUGUGCACGAUGAAGUUUUUCGGAAUGUAAAGUGCUUUCAGUUGGGAAGAAAAAAAUGACGGUACCAACAGAAGAAGUGACGGCUAAAUACGUGCCAGCAGCCGCGGUAAUACGUAUGUCACAAGCGUUAUCCGGAUUUAUUGGGCGUAAAGCGCGUCUAGGUGGUUAUAUAAGUCUGAUGUGAAAAUGCAGGGCUCAACUCUGUAUUGCGUUGGAAACUGUGUAACUAGAGUACUGGAGAGGUAAGCGGAACUACAAGUGUAGAGGUGAAAUUCGUAGAUAUUUGUAGGAAUGCCGAUGGGGAAGCCAGCUUACUGGACAGAUACUGACGCUGAAGCGCGAAAGCGUGGGUAGCAAACAGG